GUGUAUGGAAUGUCAAAUUUCUAGUAUGAGAAAUUAACGAUUUAAGUCCUUCUUAAAUGAGGCCAUUUACCCAAAGAGGGUGCCAGGCCCGUAUAACGUUAAUGAUUACUAGAUGGCAUUUCCAAAGAGUCGUGUUGCUUGAUAGUGCAGCACUAAGUGGGUGGUAAACUCCAUCUAAAACUAAAUAUAACCAUGAGACCGAUAGUAAACAAGUACCGUGAGGGAAAGUUGAAAAGAACUCUGAAUAGAGAGUUAAAUAGUACGUGAAACUGCUUAGAGGUUAAGCCCGAUGAACCUGAAUAUCCGUUAUAGGAAAUUCAUCAUUAUGAUUUUAAUAUUUGUAAUAUUAUAAUAAUGGUGUGCAUUUUUUCUAUAAAAGGACAUUGUAAUCUAUUAACAAAAAUUAAAUUUAUCAUAAGAUCAUUUGCGCAAGUUUAUUCAAAUUAUUUUGUUUGCAAUUUAAUAUCGAGUAAAUGCAAAAGAUUUGAUAAAGUGUUGAUAGAUUAAUAAUAUAUAGUGCUUAAAUAUUUUUUAAAUAUUUUAUAAUAGCAUAUAAAUCAUUGAUUUGUUAUGUUAAUUAUAUGCACUUAUAUGAUUAACAAUGCGAAAGAUUCAGGAUACCUUCGGGANCCGUCUUGAAACACGGACCAAGGAGUCUAACAUAUUUGCAAGUUAUUGGGAUACAAAAACCUA
RNAcentral lists this ribosomal RNA (693 nucleotides) under Rhinophora lepida. RNAcentral's name for it is "eukaryotic LSU rRNA". It matches the Rfam family "Eukaryotic large subunit ribosomal RNA", at positions 148 to 710 of the family's 3401-position model. Lineage: Eukaryota; Metazoa; Arthropoda; Insecta; Diptera; Rhinophoridae. The record is from RNAcentral.